CAUAGGUUAAUGAGGCGAACCGGGGGAACUGAAACAUCUAAGUACCCCGAGGAAAAGAAAUCAACCGAGAUUCCCCCAGUAGCGGCGAGCGAACGGGGAGGAGCCCAGAGCCUGAAUCAGCAUGUGUGUUAGUGGAAGCGUCUGGAAAGGCGCGCGAUACAGGGUGACAGCCCCGUACACAAAAGCGCAUGUGCUGUGAGCUCGAUGAGUAGGGCGGGACACGUGGUAUCCUGUCUGAAUAUGGGGGGACCAUCCUCCAAGGCUAAAUACUCCUGACUGACCGAUAGUGAACCAGUACCGUGAGGGAAAGGCGAAAAGAACCCCGGCGAGGGGAGUGAAAAAGAACCUGAAACCGUGUACGUACAAGCAGUGGGAGCCCCACCACUAAGCCAGUGGUGAACUCCACAUACGCAUCCUUUGCUGAGGAUACGGUUAACGGAGCGCAAGCGACGUUCAACCGCAAAAGAAGUAGAGGGGGC
Molecule: ribosomal RNA, 479 nt
Filed under: Salmonella enterica subsp. enterica serovar Eastbourne
Lineage: Bacteria; Pseudomonadati; Pseudomonadota; Gammaproteobacteria; Enterobacterales; Enterobacteriaceae
Description: partial 23S ribosomal RNA
Rfam family: Bacterial large subunit ribosomal RNA
Source: RNAcentral